This 422-nucleotide ribosomal RNA is filed under the name uncultured bacterium. Its description in RNAcentral is "partial 16S ribosomal RNA". It matches the Rfam family "Bacterial small subunit ribosomal RNA", at positions 360 to 774 of the family's 1533-position model. The record is from RNAcentral.
AAUAUUGGACAAUGGGGGCAACCCUGAUCCAGCCAUGCCGCGUGUGUGAAGAAGGUCNNNGGAUUNUAAUGCACUUUAAGUUGNGAGNAAGGGCUUUAGGUUAAUACCCUGAAGUUUUGACGUUACCAACAGAAUAAGCACCGGCUAACUCUGUGCCAGCAGCCGCGGUAAUACUGAGGGUGCAAGCGUUAAUCGGAAUUACUGGUUGUAAAUCGCGCGUACGUGGUUCAGUAAGAUGGAAGUGACAUCCCCGGGCUUAACCUGGGAACUGCUUUCAUAACUGCUGACCUAGAGUACGGUAGAGGGUAGUGGAAUUUCCUGUGUAGCGGUGAAAUGCGUAGAUAUAGGAAGGAACACCAGUGGCGAAGGCGACUACCUGGACUGAUACUGACACUGAGGUGCGAAAGCGUGGGGAGCAAACA